GGUGUCACCUGCCUUUUGGGGAACCCUCCGGCUUUUGGGGGACCCCCAUGAGGUGUCACCUGCCUUUCGGGGGACCCUCUGGCUUUUGGGGGACCCCCCGUGAGGUGUCACCUGCCUUUUGGGGGACCCUCCUGGCUUUUGGGGGACCCCCAAGACUUUGGGACACCCCCAAGCUUUGGGGGACCCCCCCCAGCUUUCCAGCAAGAACCAGCUCUUGGGUGAACCCCCAAAGCCCCCCCUUUGCUUUCGGGGGCCCCUCCCUUUCCCCAGGCUGCCAAAUUUGGGGGGGCUCCCCGGAACCCCCCCAAUUUUUUAAUCCCUUCUCACCUUUUUUAUGUGUUUUUAAAGUCAAAAGCUUUUUUUGGGGGGGGGCCCCCCAAAUUUGGGGGUGGGGGAAGGACUAGGCGAAGGUGCAGGCAGAUUUGGGGGGGCCCCUGGCCGGGGCCGACUGUCACUUUAAGGGGGGUCAGUGCAAUGGGGAGGCACCCCGAUAUUUUAAGGGGGGGCCCCCUCGGUUUGGGGGUGCC
This 527-nucleotide long non-coding RNA is filed under the name Apteryx owenii (little spotted kiwi). RNAcentral describes it as "lncRNA (ENSAOWG00000001684.1)". The record is from RNAcentral. Lineage: Eukaryota; Metazoa; Chordata; Aves; Apterygiformes; Apterygidae.